UCGCCCCAACGGCUUCCUGACGUGGCGAUUUAACAUAAUUGGAGCG
This 46-nucleotide non-coding RNA is filed under the name unclassified sequences. RNAcentral's name for it is "SAM-SAH-Weickhmann-2018 RNA". It matches the Rfam family "SAM/SAH riboswitch aptamer". The record is from RNAcentral.